GGGGACAACCCGCCGAAAGGCGGGCUAAACCCGCGUACAUGCCACCGGGGCAUCCCGGAGGCAGGAAAGGCUUCGGCCGGACAGGGAUGGGCAUGCGGCGCAUUAGGCAGUAGGCGGGGUAACGGCCCACUUAACCGACGAUGCGUAGGGGUUCUGAGAGGAAGGUCCCCCACACUGGUACUGAGACACGGACCAGACUCCUACGGGAGGCAGCAGUGAGGAAUAUUGGUCAAUGGUCGGGAGACUGAACCAGCCAAGCCGCGUGAGGGAUGAAGGUACAGAGUAUCGUAAACCUCUUUUGUCAGGGAACAAAGGCGGGGACGUGUCCCCGGAUGAGUGUACCUGAAGAAAAAGCAUCGGCUAACUCCGUGCCAGCAGCCGCGGUAAUACGGAGGAUGCGAGCGUUAUCCGGAUUUAUUGGGUUUAAAGGGUGCGCAGGCGGUCUGUUAAGUCAGCGGUCAAAGCCCGGGGCUCAACCCCGGCCCGCCGUUGAAACUGGCAGUCUCGAGUUGGAGAGAAGUAUGCGGAAUGCGCGGUGUAGCGGUGAAAUGCAUAGAUAUCGCGCAGAACUCCGAUUGCGAAGGCAGCAUGCCGGCUCCACACUGACGCUGAGGCACGAAAGCGUGGGUAUCGAACAGGAUUAGAUACCCUGGUAGUCCACGCAGUAAACGAUGAA
This 676-nucleotide ribosomal RNA is filed under the name uncultured bacterium. RNAcentral describes it as "bacterial SSU rRNA". It matches the Rfam family "Bacterial small subunit ribosomal RNA", at positions 139 to 813 of the family's 1533-position model. The record is from RNAcentral.